CGCCUCUUGCAUUCCAAAGUAUAAGAGGUCCCACCUGCCCUGUGACUCUAAGUUUAACGGCCGCGGUAUUCUAACCGUGCGAAGGUAGCGCAAUCAAUUGCCUUUUAAAUGAAGGCCUGUAUGAAUGGUAUAACGAGGGUCUAGCUGUCUCUUUUUUCUAGUCAGUUAAACUGAUCUGUCCGUGCAGAAGCGGACAUUAAUAUACAAGACGAGAAGACCCUAUGGAGCUUUAGACACUAGCCAACUGUGAACAAGCGACUGAACUGAACGAGUCCUAAAUACCCGCAGCCUUAUGGUAAUGUAGUCUUAGGUUGGGGCGACCACGGGAGAAAGUAAAGCUCCCAAGCAGACCGGGAAAACCCUUAAGCCGAGAGUUGCAACUCUAAGCCGCAAAAUUUUUGACUGAAAUGAUCCGGUUGAAAAACCGAUUAACGAACCAAGUUACCCUAGGGAUAACAGCGCAAUCCUCUCCCAGAGUCCCUAUCGACGAGGGGGUUUACGACCUCGAUGUUGGAUCAGGACAUCCUAAUGGUGCAGCCGCUAUUAAGGGUUCGUUUGUUCAACGAUUAAAGUCCU
This 576-nucleotide ribosomal RNA is filed under the name Engraulis australis (Australian anchovy). RNAcentral's name for it is "partial 16S ribosomal RNA". It matches the Rfam family "Bacterial large subunit ribosomal RNA", at positions 1817 to 2597 of the family's 2925-position model. Lineage: Eukaryota; Metazoa; Chordata; Actinopteri; Clupeiformes; Engraulidae. The record is from RNAcentral.